Molecule: long non-coding RNA, 484 nt
Filed under: Phasianus colchicus (ring-necked pheasant)
Lineage: Eukaryota; Metazoa; Chordata; Aves; Galliformes; Phasianidae
Description: lncRNA (ENSPCLG00000010770.1)
Source: RNAcentral
AUGGAAGGGAGGCGAAUUGUCUGCAAGAUGUGCAGGACAGGAUUAUUUGCAUUUCAAUGUGUUUUGUGUAACAUUACCAUUUUAGUAGCUAGCGUUUCUGCAAAGGACAGCUCACAAGUUUACGGUUUGAAUGAGCCACUGCUGCCAUAUCCAGCAGGAGGACUGCCAGGGAGGCUACAAGGCCAGUGGAUGAGUGAGGCAUGAAAAGAACAGCCCGAGGAAGAUAAGGUGUACCAGUACUUCCUCUGCGCAAGAAGGGCUUUCUGCACAUCGUCACAGUCAUAGAAAGUAGAGGCAUCCCCUCCCAGUUUCCAGUUAAAAAAAGCAAAAUGGAAGAUCUGGAGAAAAAGACAAAAAUCAUAAAAUAUUCUGCUUGGUUUCUCCCCAUCAGUGUUUUCAAAUUAGAAUACAUAGGAUGGAAAUUUUCAUUAGUCGCAGUGUCUGGAGAAAUUGUUUGUAAUAAAUCCUCCAAACUGGAAAAACA